This 1419-nucleotide ribosomal RNA is filed under the name metagenome. Its description in RNAcentral is "bacterial LSU rRNA". It matches the Rfam family "Bacterial large subunit ribosomal RNA", at positions 1529 to 2925 of the family's 2925-position model. The record is from RNAcentral.
AUCUUAGGUAAAUCCGGGGUUUCAAGGCCGAGAGCUGAUGACGAGUCGUCUUUUAGAUGACGAAGUGGUUGAUGCCAUGCUUCCAAGAAAAGCUUCUAAGCUUCAGGUAACCAGGAACCGUACCCCAAACCGACACAGGUGGUCGGGUAGAGAAUACCAAGGCGCUUGAGAGAACUCGGGUGAAGGAACUAGGCAAAAUGGCACCGUAACUUCGGGAGAAGGUGCGCCGGCCAGGGUGAAGGAUUUACUCCGUAAGCUCUGGCUGGUCGAAGAUACCAGGCCGCUGCGACUGUUUAUUAAAAACACAGCACUCUGCAAACACGAAAGUGGACGUAUAGGGGUGUGACGCCUCCCCGGUGCCGGAAGGUUAAUUGAUGGGGUUAGCGCAAGCGAAGCUCUUGAUCGAAGCCCCGGUAAACGGCGGCCGUAACAAUAACGGUCCUAAGGUAGCGAAAUUCCUUGUCGGGUAAGUUCCGACCUGCACGAAUGGCGUAACGAUGGCGGCGCUGUCUCCACCCGAGACUCAGUGAAAUUGAAAUCGCUGUGAAGAUGCAGUGUAUCCGCGGCUAGACGGAAAGACCCCGUGAACCUUUACUGUAGCUUUGCACUGGACUUUGAGCCUGCUUGUGUAGGAUAGGUGGGAGGCUUUGAAGCGUGGACGCCAGUUCGCGUGGAGCCAUCCUUGAAAUACCACCCUGGCAUGCUUGAGGUUCUAACUCUGGUCCGUAAUCCGGAUCGAGGACAGUGUAUGGUGGGCAGUUUGACUGGGGCGGUCUCCUCCUAAAGAGUAACGGAGGAGUACGAAGGUGCGCUCAGACCGGUCGGAAAUCGGUCGCAGAGUAUAAAGGCAAAAGCGCGCUUGACUGCGAGACAGACACGUCGAGCAGGUACGAAAGUAGGUCUUAGUGAUCCGGUGGUUCUGUAUGGAAGGGCCAUCGCUCAACGGAUAAAAGGUACUCCGGGGAUAACAGGCUGAUACCGCCCAAGAGUUCAUAUCGACGGCGGUGUUUGGCACCUCGAUGUCGGCUCAUCACAUCCUGGGGCUGAAGCCGGUCCCAAGGGUAUGGCUGUUCGCCAUUUAAAGUGGUACGCGAGCUGGGUUUAGAACGUCGUGAGACAGUUCGGUCCCUAUCUGCCGUGGACGUUUGAGAUUUGAGAGGGGCUGCUCCUAGUACGAGAGGACCGGAGUGGACGAACCUCUGGUGUUCCGGUUGUCACGCCAGUGGCAUUGCCGGGUAGCUAUGUUCGGAAAAGAUAACCGCUGAAAGCAUCUAAGCGGGAAACUUGCCUCAAGAUGAGAUCUCACUGGGAACUUGAUUCCCCUGAAGGGCCGUCGAAGACUACGACGUUGAUAGGCUGGGUGUGUAAGCGUUGUGAGGCGUUGAGCUAACCAGUACUAAUUGCCCGUGAGGCUUGACC